UACACUCCUGCGGGAGGCAGCAGUGGGGAAUAUUGGACAAUGGGCGCAAGCCUGAUCCAGCCAUGCCGCGUGAGUGAUGAAGGCCCUAGGGUUGUAAAGCUCUUUCACCGGUGAAGAUAAUGACGGUAACCGGAGAAGAAGCCCCGGCUAACUUCGUGCCAGCAGCCGCGGUAAUACGAAGGGGGCUAGCGUUGUUCGGAUUUACUGGGCGUAAAGCGCACGUAGGCGGACUAUUAAGUCAGGGGUGAAAUCCCGGGGCUCAACCCCGGAACUGCCUUUGAUACUGGUAGUCUUGAGUUCGAGAGAGGUGAGUGGAAUUCCGAGUGUAGAGGUGAAAUUCGUAGAUAUUCGGAGGAACACCAGUGGCGAAGGCGGCUCACUGGCUCGAUACUGACGCUGAGGUGCGAAAGCGUGGGGAGCAAACAGGAUUAGAUACCCGAGUAGUCC
RNAcentral lists this ribosomal RNA (447 nucleotides) under uncultured organism. RNAcentral's name for it is "partial 16S ribosomal RNA". It matches the Rfam family "Bacterial small subunit ribosomal RNA", at positions 332 to 796 of the family's 1533-position model. The record is from RNAcentral.